GACGAACGCUGGCGGCGUGCCUAACACAUGCAAGUCGAGCGGAGAUGUACUGAAGAUUUAUCGGAUGUACAUCUUAGCGGCGGACGGGUGAGUAACGCGUGGGCAACCUGCCUUUCACUGGGGGAUAACACAGGGAAACCUGUGCUAAUACCGCAUGACAUCACGUAGGGCAUCCUAUGUGAUCAAAGGAGAGAUCCGGUGGAAGAUGGGCCCGCGUCCAAUUAGCUGGUUGGUGAGGUAAAGGCUCACCAAGGCGACGAUUGGUAGCCGAACUGAGAGGUUGAUCGGCCACAUUGGGACUGAGACACGGCCCAGACUCCUACGGGAGGCAGCAGUGGGGAAUAUUGCGCAAUGGGGGGAACCCUGACGCAGCAACGCCGCGUGAAGGAAGAAGGUCUUCGGAUUGUAAACUUCUUUGAUGAGGGACGAAUAAAGUGACGGUACCUCAAAAACAAGCCACGGCUAACUACGUGCCAGCAGCCGCGGUAAAAGUC
Molecule: ribosomal RNA, 494 nt
Filed under: uncultured bacterium
Lineage: Bacteria
Description: bacterial SSU rRNA
Rfam family: Bacterial small subunit ribosomal RNA
Source: RNAcentral